Vitis riparia (riverbank grape) is the source of this 229-nucleotide long non-coding RNA. RefSeq lists it as uncharacterized. The record is from RefSeq and is a predicted model, not a curated record. NCBI's taxonomy places the organism in Eukaryota, Viridiplantae, Streptophyta, Magnoliopsida, Vitales, Vitaceae. The transcript has 3 exons.
UCAUCUGCUAAGCACAGCUCUCGCAUCCCUUUCCAUUAUCGCUCAUGGCUUCCCGGUUCUUGUCCUUACCAGAGACUGACCAGGUUCUUUUUGAAGAAAGCCCAGGUGUGCGAAAGAUAAUACUAAAUAGACCCAAAAAAUUAAAUAGUCUCUCUUACGAAAUGAAUACGCUUUUGACUACAACUAUAUCAAUGAUUGACAUAUGAGGCAAAAGUGAUAAUAUUCAUGG